RNAcentral lists this ribosomal RNA (253 nucleotides) under uncultured bacterium. Its description in RNAcentral is "partial 16S ribosomal RNA". It matches the Rfam family "Bacterial small subunit ribosomal RNA", at positions 524 to 776 of the family's 1533-position model. The record is from RNAcentral.
UACGUAGGGGGCAAGCGUUGUCCGGAUUUAUUGGGCGUAAAGAGCGCGUAGGCGGCCUGAUAGGUCUGCUGUGAAAACUCGAGGCUCAACCUCGAGAUGUCGGCGGAAACCGUCUGGCUAGAGUCCGGAAGAGGAGAGUGGAAUUCCUGGUGUAGCGGUGAAAUGCGCAGAUAUCAGGAAGAACACCUAUGGCGAAGGCAGCUCUCUGGGACGGUACUGACGCUGAGACGCGAAAGCGUGGGGAGCGAACAGG